GGUUUUAAUAUAAAGGUGUAUGAACUUAUAAUAAGGACAUAUUCAACGGUUGAUUGGUCCAGCACGAAGUGAAUGGAAAAUCUGUUCUUGUAGUAACAACAUUAGAGCCUUCCUUGACGCACGCGCCGAUAACAUGAAGUCAUCCCUGACCAUAGUUUUCUUCGCUGCAGCUUUAUCCCUGGCCUUUGCGGCGCCACAAUUCAUUACAUUUCAAGAUGGAAAGUUAGGAGUUAACUUUGCUGGCUAUCAUGCUGGAGUUGGAGUUGGUGGAUUAUUGGCUAAUGGAACUCUUGGAGGACUGUACGCAGAGGCUGGUACACCAACAGGGCAAUCGGCUUCAGCCGGACUCGGCGGUGUUGUGAACAAGUACGGGCAUGCUACAGGAGGACUGUUUGCUGGAGCGACAGCAGGUAACAAUAUUCAAGCUGCUGCAGGACUUUCGGGUGGGCUCGACUCUGAAAACUCAGCUGGAACCGGCUUCGCCACAGCUCAAGCUGGGAACCGUAUAACUUCCUCAGGACUGGGUGGUCACGCUGGUGUUGAAGGAUCAUCAGGCUUCACUUACAGCGGUAAAGAAGUAUCCGUUAUACCAGCACACAGUGCUGAAGCCGCAUUUAAUGUUAACGCUAAUGUAAAUGAAGUACAACCUCUUCCCGAAUCACGGGUUGAGAUACAUAAAACUUUUAUUAAACAGAGUGCUCCACCUCCCGUUAUUGUCAAAGAAGUGAGUAACGUAUGGUCACCAAGACACCAAACACCAUUUUAUCGAUUUAAUGAUUUUAUCACAGGAGUAUAUAACAUUCCUUUAGAUGAGGAAUUAGUUAAUCAACAUAAGGUUAUUGUAGAAUCCCCACCUCCGCCACCACAUAUUGUCGAAAAACACAUAAUCCACACUCAUCACAAGCACAAACGCCCGCAUGUACGUAAAACUGCGUUUGUCAGUGGCUACAUCGGUGGAGGAGGCAACUUACAGCCAGCCGAGACAGUAGUUUACCAAUCGGAACCGGCUAUAGACAAACGACUAGACGUCGGUGUACAGGCUGCAGCAGCUGCUGGAGUAGAUGCUAAUCCGCAUGUAGGAGGAGGAAUCAGAAAUGUUUAUAGAAAAGAAGUAUCUAUUCAAAGGAAUCCUUCAUUCUUUAGUGAUAUUUUCAAUAUACCCAUAUCCACACUGAAAGCUGUAGGAAAUUUCCUCGGAAAUACAGCGUCAAAUACAAAUAUAUCUGUCCAAAAGUCGGCUUCCGUUGAAACAGGAACUGUCUCUGAGCUGAAACAUUAUCCAUCUUCAUCGUCAUCAUCAUCUUCAUCACACAUCUCAGUACAGACACCGACUGCAUCUAAAUUUAUUGAUGAUAUACUAUCUGUAAUGAUCAAAAUUGCUUGAAAAUAUUAACAUAAAAAGGGGUAAUUGUCGAAUACGGCGCAGUAUUGUAACCGCAAGGAUUUGAGGUACGUAUGAUUUAAGUAACAUUGUUCUGUGUUAUCAAUGUAUAUUUCAUUGUAAUUCCUUCAUUCUUAAAUUGUUGCUUGAAUAUGUUGAACAUAAAUAUUCCGAAGUCUAGAGAUAUAUUAUUUUUAUAUUCUGUAUCUUCAUCAUAAUAAUAUAUCAAACGUAUAUCCUAUUAAGGUUUUCGUUUCCGAUUUGAUUACCCUGUCGAUGAAAAAUAUAACGAUAAACUAGAUUAAAAUACUAAUGAUUAUCAAAUGUAUAUAGAAAUAAAUUUAUUUUUAUUGGUGAAUAAUUUUGUAUAACGAUUUAGAUUCCAAUAAGCACCUUGGGAGCCGUAAAUCGAUUUCUCGAAAAUAACGUCGCGAGGAAAAGCGUUCAGGUAUCCCAGGAAGUUGUUGAUGCACCGUCAAGAAUCAGAAGGGUUCCACAUGGUCGCAGAAGAGCUAAUAAGGUCGU
Molecule: RNA transcript, 1906 nt
Organism: Pieris brassicae (large cabbage white)
Lineage: Eukaryota; Metazoa; Arthropoda; Insecta; Lepidoptera; Pieridae
Exons: 11
Source: RefSeq, a predicted model, not a curated record